Molecule: long non-coding RNA, 776 nt
Organism: Artibeus jamaicensis (Jamaican fruit-eating bat)
Lineage: Eukaryota; Metazoa; Chordata; Mammalia; Chiroptera; Phyllostomidae
Exons: 3
Source: RefSeq, a predicted model, not a curated record
AGAGCACUGAUUUUGAAGCCAAACUGCCCGGCUUUGUACCCUGACCCCACUCCUAAUUAGCUGUAUGCCCUCAAAUAAGUUAAGCUACUUAACCUGAUACUUCAAGCUCUUCAUCUGGUCAAAUUCAUUUCGAUUUCGCACCUGCUGAAGUGGAGAAAUGUUCGCCUUCGUUCCUCUGGGGUCUGCUUGCUUUUCCUGAGUUGGCUAGGACGCGACAUGGGAGUGCCCGGACGCCGGCAGAGAGUGGUUAACACGAAAGAGUAGUUAACCUGGUGUGAGGGUCCACUGGCCUAUUAGUUGUUUCCACAGAUGUCUGCUGAGAUCCUACUCUGACUUUGCUAACCUGGCAGUUUUGUAUCUGAGCACCCAUCAGUCCUCAAACAAAUUCCACAGAUGUCUCCUGUAACCUACUGAGUUUGAAAGGGCAAUUAUCAGUCAACUAAACUGAAAACAAACUUAAACCACCGAGGAAGAGCAGAUCUUUGUGUGAGUCAGAAGGACUUUGCUUUCAGAGUUAUGAAAGACUGUUCUCUCGUGUUACAUGUCUCCUAGAAGUGGCAAAACAAUCAUUGAAAAAAAUGUUUUAAAGUUAAAAUACUUUAAAAUAAAGCUUUGUACCACUUUUAAAUGGUAGAAUAAAAUAAUACAAAAUGGUGGAUUCCAACUUUAACUUACGGUCAGAUUACCUGAAAUUUGAAACUUCGGUGUGUGGUUCAGUGCCUCACUGCCGACCUGGUUGCCAGUGUCUGUUUCCCUCUCGGCCCACGCUGCCUCCU